RNAcentral lists this long non-coding RNA (11569 nucleotides) under Phaseolus vulgaris (common bean). Its description in RNAcentral is "long non-coding RNA (PVUL_LNC000116)". The record is from RNAcentral. Lineage: Eukaryota; Viridiplantae; Streptophyta; Magnoliopsida; Fabales; Fabaceae.
UCGGCUUCUCCUCUCGGCUGGUCCUCUCGGCUUCUCCUCACAACAGGUGAGGGGUACCUGCAAGUCGCUCUGAUGCCAAAGUCAGAAAAGGUUUAAUAUUCAUCAGAUAAAAUCACUCUUACCUUUUUCUUACUCUGGACUUCUAUUUAUAGGGUUUCCUUAAUGGGCUUUUCUCCUUUUCUGUUGGACUUUCUCUUUACACCUUUUUAUUAUUUACACACCCCUCCUGUAGGUUUUAAACUUAAUUGGGUUUCAUUUUUAUAGUAGUACUUAUAUUUUAUUUUAUUCUUUAAUGUACAUCUUUUUCACUCUCGGUUUAAACCUCUCGGUUUUAACCUUAUCCCCUUGUUUACUUAAUGUUGUUCUCGGCCUAAACCUCUCGGUUUUAGCCUACCAGUACACUAGCCCCCGAGACAGAAAUAUUUUAUUUUAAGUUUAAACAAAUAUUUGUGUCUUAAUAUAAUAUAAUAAUUUUGACAUUUGAUUUGAUUUCAUAUGGAACGCUUUGAUUUCUGCGCUUUAUUUUGCUCAGUUUACAUGACUUGACAGGAACUUGCCAUUUUGACCGUUAGAUGACAUAUUUUUGAAUGGUGCCACAUUGUUUAUAACGUUUGAAAUUCUAGGGUUUUCUCUGGGCUAUAAAUAGGUUUGCCAUUGGGUUUUUUAUGAUUGUGUGUGCUUUGCUGCUGUUGAGAAGGAAGCAUAUUGUCAAUCUUCGUUCAAUUCUUGCGAAGGUAAUGUCUCUUUCAAGUUCUUCUGCUACUGAUGAAUUUUCAAGCGCGGGUGGUGAAUCAAAUGGCCGAGUGGUUCGAGAAGAAGUUCCUCCUGAGUCAAAAUCUUCAUCUGCCACUCUAUCUUGUAUGAAUGAUUCAAGUGGAGCUCCUGCUGUUGAUAUUCUUCAAGAAUUUGAAUUUAUCGUGCCCCAGAAAAACCUUCGUCCUGGUUAUCAAUGGGUUAAUCCUAAAGUCCGAGAGUAUUUCUCGAAGUAUCGUUCUGCUAACGAACUUCGGAGUUUUCUUUCCCGUUCUCAAAUUUAUUAUUCUGAUAUUGAAAAUGAUAUCAUUUCAUUUCGGCGUGUUGGUGAUGUUGAUAAUGUGUGUCAUGGCCGAGAAGGUGAUAGCUAUGAAUUUUUUUAUUUUUAUGCUUGCUUUUUCAGAGAUCUUCAUAUUCGAUUGCCUUUGAACAAUUUUCAAAUGGGCGUUCUUAAUUUUCUUAAUGUUGCUCCUACUCAGCUUCAUCCUAAUGGUUGGGCUGCGAUGCAAGCAUUCAGUAUUUUUUGUAAAUUGUUGUCACUUUCUCCUAGUCCCUCUGUGUUUCUAUACUAUUAUAGUUCUCGGCCUGGUAAACGGCCGGGGUGGCUAUCCCUUAUUAGCAAAUCCAAUGUGUGUUUUCUUAAGCCUUUUACGUCGUCAUAUAAGGAUUUUAAAGGAAGUUUUUUCAAAAUUCUAAUAGAGCCAAUAGGAAGAGAAUACUUCUUUAAUGGAAAUUCUCCAAAAUUUCCUCUGUAUUGGACGAAAGAUCCUGUGAAGUUUAACUCAAUAUCCUUUCAUUCGAUGGGUGUGGCCGAUCGUCAUGUUAUUGAAGUUUUUAGUCGUUUCUCGUACCAAGUUCCCACUCGUGCUUUGCUACAGUUGUAUACUUCAUCACAUCCUCGAGAAGAUCUUACUGGUACGUGGUUGUUGUUGAAGCUGGAGGAAGCUUCUUCCCUACCAAGACUUGAUGUGUGUUUGAUGAAGAAAAUGGCUUGAGUGCUUUGAAGAUUGUAAUAGGUUUUUAGAUUCAUUUGUAUUUAGGCUUGUAAAUGUGUAUGAUUGCCUUUUGCUGUGUAACCUAUCCUAGAUGCCUAACUAAGUCUAGAUCAAGCACAUGAUGUGGUUAAAUGGUUUUUUGAAAAGCUUUUUAAAAUGUUUUUAACAGUUUUAAAACAGUACACAAAUAAAUCUGUUUUAUGGAGAAAGAAUCUGUUUAUUUCUUCUCUGUUAAAAGGCUUUUCUAAAAUUUCUGUUAAGGCACCAAGGGAAAGCUCAGUUCGUUAUUUCAGUUAAGCUGAGCUGGCCUGUGUGUGAUACUUUAAUCUGUUUUACUGUGAAAGAACAGGUUUAUUCUUUGGUCUGCUGAAAGGUUUUUUACAAGUUAGUUAGGGCACCAAAGGUACCACUCAGACAGUUAUUUCUGUUAAGCUGAGUUGGCAGUUUUCACAAAAUAAAUCUGUUAAGUUCAAAAAUGAAUCUGUUGUUUUCUUAACUGCUUUUCAACUGUUUUUUGAAAAGAGGUUAGAAACUGUUUUCUAUAUAAAGAAAAGUCUUUCUCACAUGAAUAAGUGCUGAGGAAUUACGCUUUUGACAAAGAUCAAACAAUUUCCAUGUGAGAAGAAGGAUUGAAAGAGUUUUUGAAAGGUUUUCCAAAGAGAUUUUCAAGUGUGCUUGUUCUAGGAAACCUUGAAUCUUGGUGAAGGUGCUGGUGCAGUUCUGCAGCAAAUUAAACUACUGGUUUUGAGUUCUUGCAUCUUCUUUUCAGGUGUAAUCUUUCCUUUAUUCUGUUUUGUAAAGGUGUAAGUGUUANNNNNNNNNNNNNNNNNNNNNNNNNNNNNNNNNNNNNNNNNNNNNNNNNNNNNNNNNNNNNNNNNNNNNNNNNNNNNNNNNNNNNNNNNNNNNNNNNNNNNNNNAGUGAUUGGUACUGUUUUUAGUGAAUUCCACCUUGGGGUAAGGUGUGACUGGAUGUAGCUCUGUAUGAGUGAACCAGUAUAAAAACGUGUGUAUCUUGUAUUCUCAUCCCUGCACUCUUUUCUGGUUUUUGCUUAAUUCUGUCAAGAACUAAAUCUGUUCUUUUUAAAUUGAAUCUGUUAAUUCUGGGUUAAGUGAAAACUGUUCUUCCUGAUUUGUUGAAGUUUUCUGAUCAUAAACAAGGUUGCUGCAUAUAAUGGUUUAAGUGAAUUGUGAACAAACUGAUCAUUCAUUAAAACCUGAGAAAGGAUCAUACUUCUUGAAAUCUUGUGUUGUGUAACUUUUGAUUGAUUUCUAAGCAUAGUUGUAUCUUUCAUCCUCACAAUAUUAAGCUGAUCUGGUUCUGUUAUAAUUCUUUGUUGAACACAAUUUUACAUUGAACAAAAUUCAAAUUGUGCCAAGACUGCUCUGAAGAAUCAAUUUGUUUCAUGUAAAAACAAUCUGUUCUUUUUGCCUCUGGAAUACUGAAAAANNNNNNNNNNNNNNNNNNNNNNNNNNNNNNNNNNNNNNNNNNNNNNNNNNNNNNNNNNNNNNNNNNNNNNNNNNNNNNNNNNNNNNNNNNNNNNNNNNNNUUGCGAAAAUUUUAUAAGCUCAAUUCACCCCUCCCCUCUUGAACUUAGACAAUAAUAGACCCAACAGUUGUUCCGCAUUUUCUUGCUUUUUAGGAUGAGUUUUUUAACUUUGCUAAAUUUUUUAUUGAUUUUCAGCUCUGAUGGCAAGCACUAAUCCGAAAGCUCGAUCUUACUUUUCGAAAUUGCUGAACAAAGUGGGUGAUGUAACUCCCCGACGUGAGAAUGUGGUAAAUCCUGUUGUGGAAGUAGAAACCGUGGAACCUGUUGCUAAUGUUGACGUGGUGGAACCGACAAGUAAUGUCGAUGUUGCUGGUCCUUCGAAGAAAUCAAAGAAACGAGAUAGGAGUAGCCAGAGGUCACAUUCGUCUUCUCGGCGCCAUCGCCAUAGUGAAAAUGUUUCAUGUGAACCUCUUCCUGAGAUGAUUUUUAGUGCGACGAAUAAGUAUGGAAAGUUUGUUCAAACAUCUUUUAGUGAAUCAUCUUACAAUAUGCUGAAGAAUAUGGAUGCUGCUUCAUUAGCGGAUUCUGUUAUUGAAUUAUCAAGUAGAAAUCUUUUGAUUGGAAAAAUGAUGAAAGAGAAGAAUGGGAACUGCGUGUCGUUAUCUGGAUUUGAAAAGUUGAAGAAUGAUCUUGCUGAGUAUAAAGAAAGGAUGAACUCUUUAUCUUUAGAGUUAGAGAAGAUGACAAAACAGAAAAAGGAACAAGAAAUCGAGAAUGAAGGUCUUGGAAAAGAAAUUUCUGAUUUGAAGAACGAAAACCUGAAAUCUAGCGCAGAGAAUGCUCAAUUGUUCAAGGAGAAUCAACUUUUGACCGAGAAGGUAUCGACGCUAUCUUCUGCGAAUGAAUCCGACAAGAACACCAUCAAACUUAUGGAUGAGGAGAUUAAUCAGCUCAGGACCAAUGUUUUUGAAGCCGAAAGUUUUAUAUUUGAACAACACAAACUUGGCUUUGAGAAGGCUCUUCAACAAGCAAAAUACUUUUAUAAGAUUCCUAUUGAUGAAGGUAAUUUUGAUGUUAAGAAGGACUUUUAUAAUGGUGAGCUAGUUCCUGCUAAUGAGAUUCCGGAUAAUGAUGCUAAAGAUAUUAAUAUCGAAAAUUAGGUAUAGGGUUUUAAGUUUUAUAGUUUGUCGGUUACCUCUCGGUUACUUGCUGAGAAGUACAAUUGUUUUGGAAUGCUGGGUUUGUUGGAUAUUUGCAUUCGUGAUGUAAUUCCUUUUUGGGAACUUUGUUAAUAUAAAUGCUUAAGCUUUUGUGGUUAUCAUCGUAAUUUUAUCCUUUAUAUUAUGUUGUCUGGUUAAAAUUUUCUCUCAGUUAUAAUCGUUGUGAGACUUGUUAGUUUUCGGUUUUCUUUAUGUUGAAAGCGUUAAAAAUGUUAGAAUUGUUUGAACUCACCUUUCGGUUUUAAUGAUCAUUAGUUUAAACAUGACAUUCUAUUAGAGCAUGAAGAUAUUGACUAUGUUGUAACUUGGACCUUUCGGUUUUUUAAGCGUGAUAUUUCGCAUUAUAAUCAUUUAACAUUAAAGGCCUUUCAGUGUUUAACCCAAUAUUGACCCCUUGGGUUAUUUAUUUGAAAUUUAAAACAAGUCAUUUGUUAAUAAAAUUGUUACCGGGUUCUUUCGAUUGGGAUUUAAAAAAGUAUAUUACUCCGUGAUUAUUGCAUUUGGAUUAUUUGCUUUCGGUUUUACCGCUCAAGCAUUUUUUUUAUCUUUUAAAUUGUGAAGUAUAAAGUUAUUAAUCAGAAACCUUUAAUUUAUUAAGGUUGAUUCAUAAUUGAUACAUGAUUGAUUAGAAUAUGCAAUUGUCGGUUUAGCAAUGUAUUUUGGAUGAGUAGCUUUCGGUUUUUCGAAUUGUAAAGUUACUGCUUUAGACCUGGCGUUUUUUUUUGAAGGUGUAAAGAUCAUGUACCUUUUAGCUCUGAUCUUUCGGUUUUCGUUUGCGAUAAAACGUUUUAAGAUUGACAGUUUUAAAGGAAGAUUCUGAUGGCAGGGAUUUCAAAAAACGAAAGCUAACUCUGAUCUUUCGGUUUUCAUCUGAUUUGAAGGCUUUCAAAAGUGAGAAGUAUAUUUAUGUUUGUUCGGGAGGGAUUUCACCUGAAGUGAAAGCAUCCAAGCCCAAAAAAGUUAUGUAAAUCGACUCUCGGGUGGGAUUUCACCUGAAAUGAAAGCAUCCAAACCCAAAGAAAUUGUGUAAAUCUAUUUUCGGGUGGGAUUUCACCUGAAAUGAAAGCAUCCAAGCCCAAAGAAGUUAUGUAAAUCUAUUCUCGGGUGGGAUUUCACCUGAAGUGAAAGCAUUCAAGGCCGAGAAACGAAGAAUGAAUAUGUACAUAAUGGAAGAUAACAAAACAGAUUGUUUCUUGAGAAUUCCUCUUCAUUAUAUGAUAAGUAAUUUACAUCUAUUUUAACUAAAAUAAAAUUUUAGAUGACUUACAUUCCAGGUUCUCGGUAUCACUUUCUCUUCCAAAGUUUCUAAUCUAUAAGCUCCAUUUUGUAAGUUUUCUAGCACCCUAAAAGGACCUUCCCAAUUGGAUGCCAAUUUUCCAUGUCGUGGAUCCUUUCGAGCAUCAGUUCGCAUUCUCCAUACCAGAUCACCUUCUUUAAAAGCCCUAAAUUUUACUUUUACAUUAAAUCUCUUCAUUGCUCUUUGUUUGACUGCAGUCUCCUUUAUUUUUGCUUUUUCUCUAAGUUCUUCAAUAAGAUCAAGAUCGGUUCUCAAACACUCAUUGUUGAUAUUCCAGUCUUCCAUUUGUCUUCUUAAUGUGGGUUCAUUAACUUCUACUGGUAACAUUGCAUCUGUUCCGUAAGUGAGAUUGAACGGUGUUUCUCCAGUUGAUGUUUGCGGUGUGCAACGAUAUGCCCAUAAGAUCUCCGGUAGUUUCUUUGCCCAUAAUCCUUUAGCAGUCCCCAACCUCUUUUUUAAUUGUCCAAGAAUAACCUUGUUUGCGGCUUCGGCUUGUCCAUUCGUUUGCGGAUGUUCAACCGAAGUGGUUGUGGGCUUGAUUCCCAAAUCUGCAUAAAAUUCCAUAAGUUUUUUGUCAAUGAAUUGUCGGCCAUUGUCACUUACAAUAGUAUGUGGGAUUUCGAAUCGACAUAUUAUAUUUUUCCAUACAAACGUUUGGACUUGUUGUGCCGUUAUCUUUGUCAAUGCCUCUGCUUCUAUCCAUUUUGUAAAGUAGUCUACAGCUACUAUCAUGAAUUUUCUUUGCCCUCGUCCAAGUGGGAAUGGGCCAAGUAUAUCAAUUCCCCAUUUUGAAAAUGGCCAUGGAGAUAUAAUUUCUUGCAACUCCUGCGCUGGGAUAUGAUUUAAGCUCCCAAACUCUUGGCAUUUUCUACAUGUUUUGACAUAAACUUCACAAUCCUCUCGGAUUGUUGGCCAAUAAUAACCAGCUCUGCAAACCUUUGUUGCCAUUGUUCGAGCUCCGCAAUGCAGUCCACAAAUUCCUUCAUGAAGUUCUUUGACCACAUAUUCUGCUUGUUCUUUGGUCAAACAUUUUAACAGGGGCAUGGAAUAUCCCCUUUUAUAUAGCUCAUCACCGAUUAGAAUGAAACUAGCGACUUUCUUUGUUGUUUUGGCAUCCGGCUCAACACCUUUCUCCUGGGUCUUUAUGAUUUCGAUGUAUGUUUUUAUCCAGUCAUCUUUGGAUGUUAUAAUAUUGAAGCAUUCGUCCAGACUAAUUGUCGAAUGACUGAGGGUUUGUUGUAUGACGGAAUUGUGUUGCACUUGCCUUUGUUGGCUUGCUAACUUAGACAAUGAAUCUGCUUUCAUAUUCAAUUCUCUUGGAAUAUAUUUCAUCUCGGCCUUGUUAAAACAUUGCAUAAUAUUUAAGACUUUAUGAUAAUAUUUCAUUAACAAAGGGUCUUUUACCUGAUACUCCCCGUGCACUUGUCCCACCGAUAGUUGUGAAUCAGUUUUGCAAAUGACAUUUUCCACUCCCAUGUCUCUGGCUAAUAACAAUCCUACAACAAGAGCUUCAUAUUCGGCCUGGUUGUUGGAUGUUUUGAACUCGAAUCUUAGCGCCAUCUCUACUUGGAAAUUAUCUGGUCCUUCAAGUACUAUUCCUGCUCUGCUUCCUCUUUUGCUUGACGCGCCAUCUACAUACAAAGUCCACUGGUCCUGUUGUGCUGAUGUUGGCAUCUGAAUGAUAAAAUCUGCAAGAGAUUGGGCUUUGAUAGAUCCUCUUGGUUCGUAUUUGAUUCCAUAUUCCGAAAGCUCCAUUGACCAUGUCACCAUUCGACCUGCAAGUUCUGGUUUUUUUAAAAUUUUAGAUAUUGGAAAAUCUGUCCUCACUAUUAUCUGAUGAUUCUGAAAGUAUGGUCGAAGGCGUCUUGCAGCAUACACUAAUGUUAGGGCAAUUCUCUCAACUUUGGGAUAUCUGGUUUCGGCAUUUUGUAGGGUUCUACUCACAAAAUAUAUCGGUUUCUGCUCUGGGUUUUCUUGGAUUAAAGCGGCUCCUAUUGCUUCAUUUGAAGUGGCUAAGUAGACUAUGAUGGGUUGAUUGGGUACAGGUUUUACUAAGAUUGGAGGUUCAGCCACCAUGCUCUUUAUUUGAGAUAAGCUUGCUCACAUUGUUCACUCCACACAAAGUUUUCAGAUUUUUUCAACAAGUUUAUAAUCGGUUUGGUUUUCUCAGCCAAUAUUGGCAGAAAUCUUGAUAAUGAAUUCAGCUUUCCUACUAGCCUUUGCACUUCUUUUAGGUUUUUCGGUCUUCCCAUCUGCAUGAUUGCCUCACAUUUAUCAGGAUUGGCUUCGAUUCCUCUGUUUGUCAACAUGAAUCCCAAAAAUUUUCCUCCUCUGACGCCGAAAACGCAUUUUUCUGGAUUAAGACGAAUAUUGUAUUUUCUUAUUUGAGCAAACACUUCUUCAAGAUCUUCCAGGUGUUUCUGUAUCUCACUUGAUUUAACGACCAUGUCAUCAACGUACACUUCUAGGUUUUUUCCAAUCUGUUCUUUAAACACUUUGUCCAUCAAUCUUUGGUAUGUUGCUCCAGCAUUCUUCAAGCCGAAAGGCAUGACUUUAUAACAAUAAUUUGCAACAUUAGUGGUGAAAGCUGUUUUCGGGAUAUCAGGUGCAUACAUCUGUAUUUGAUUAUACCCCGAAUAAGCAUCAAGGAAACUCAUCAUCUCUUGGCCAGAUGCCCCAUCAACUAGUCGGUCUAUGUUAGGCAAUGGAUAUGUGUCUUUUGUUCAGCUUUGUUCAAAUCGGUGUAAUCUGUACACAUUCUCCAUUAUCCAUUUGGUUUUUUGACGAGUACCACAUUAGACAACCACGUAGUAUACUUAGCUUCUCGGAUAAAACCAGCUUGUAUUAAUUUUUUAGUUUCUUCAAUUGCUGCCUAUCGUCGUUCUUCUCCUAACUUUCUUCGUUUUUGAGAUACUAGCUUUGCUUCCCAGCAAACAGAUAAUUUGUGACACAUUACCUCUGGAUCAAUUCCAGGAAUAUCAGACGGCUGUCAGGCAAAUAAAUCCUUAUUGCUACGCAACAGUGUGAUAAGUUUGCUAAGCAAUUCAUCAGGCAUACUUCCACUUAUAUAAGUGCACUGUCUGUCGUCUUGGCCUAACACUACUGCUGUUGUUUCUUCUUUCGGCUCCAGCCUUUCCUCAUUCAAUCUGGGAUCCAAGUCCACCAUGGCUACUAUCUUUUCAGCAUCUCUAUCCAUCUUCAAAUUCAUUUUUAGACCUGCUGCAUAACACUCUCGAGUAUCUCUUUGGUUGACAUAAACUGUCGCUAUCUCUCCUUUUUCUGUUGGGAAUUUCAUGGCCAAAUGCGGUGUUGACACGAUUGCUCUUAACUUAUUUAAGGAAGAUCGUCCUAGCAACACAUUGUAUGAAGUGGAUGCAUCCACCACCAGAUAUCGGAUUUUAAUUUUUCUAAUUUUGCUACCUCUUCCAAAUGUUGUUACCAAAUCAACAUAUCCCUUUGUGUUAACUCUUUCGCCUGAAAAGCCAAUGAUUUGCUCUCGGAAAGGCACUAUGUCUUCUUCUCUCAAAUGCAACCUUUUAAACGUAUCCCAGAACAAGAUAUCAACCGAACUCCCUUGAUCAACCAGGGUCUUCAUGACAGCAUAUUCGGCUAUUUCAACCGUGAUCACCAUAGGAUCAUCAUGAUCUGGAUCAAUUUCUUGAAAGUCUUCGUCUGUGAAAAGCAUUGGUGGUAAAGUUCUUCUUUUAAAAACAUGAUUAACAGCCCUGAUAUUUCUCCAAUGUUGCUUUCGUGCAAAUGAGGAUUCCUUCCCAGAAAAACCUCCUGAGAUCGUAUUUAUAAACCCCCUAACCGGCCUUCCCAAACUUCGCUCUCUGCUUCGUCUUACUGACUGGGUGUUUUGAUAGAUUCUAUCUCCUCUUUCGUCUGGCCUUCCAACCCUUCUUUCAUCUCUUUUUUCCACUCGUUUAUUUUCUCUUCUUUCAAACCUUUCAACCCUUCUUUCACCCAGCUCUCGCCCUCUCACAUCUCUCUCAGAACUCAACCAUGCUCUUGUGUUUCCCCUUUGAACAAAACGUUUUAACUGCCCGGCAUGAAUCAACUCUUUUAUUCUGUCUUUCAACCCAAUACAUUCUUCUGUAUGAUGACCAUGAUUUUUAUGAUAUUCACAAUGUUUGGUGCGGUCUGCCCUUUCUGGUGUUCUUGCUUUUCUUGGUGAUGGCAUUAUUUCAGCUGCCAUGGCUUCCUGUAAAAUUCUUGCUCUGUUUGUAUUUAGAGGCGUGUAUUGCUGGAACUUUCAACUUCUGAACUCUUCUCGGGCUCUUCUUGCAACAGGUGGGUGUUCUCUUUCUAUCACCCUCUUCUCACCUCCAUCAACCCUUACUUGGUUUCUAAACUCCCUUAAUUCUUCCAUUUGCAUAAAUUUUGAUGCUCGUUGCCUUAGUUCAUCCAAAUUGAUCGCAGGUUUCUUGCAAAGACUAUCGACAAACGGUCCCGGUUUUAAUGCCGUUAUCAUAUGAUGCAUGGUAACCUCUGGGCUAAGAUUUCAGAUUCCCAAAGCAACCUUUCCAAAACGUUCCAUGAACAUUCUUAAGGACUCUCCUUUCUUUUGUCUUAUGUUCACUAAGGCGAUUGACGUUAAAUGAUGAGGACGACCAGUUGCAAAUUGAGCGCCGAACUUUUCUAUCAACAUGUCAAAACAAUCUAUACUCAAAGGUGGGAGGCGUGUAAACCAGCUCAAUGCUGCCCCUUUCAGAGUUGUAGGAAAUACUCUGCACAUAACAGCAUCAUUCCAUGUAUACAAGCUGAUUUGAGUAGUAUAUAUUGCAAUAUGCUCAUCAGGGUUCGUACUCCCAUCAUAUUUGUCAAUGGUCAAGUUCUUCCAAUUGUCAGGCAACGGAGUAUCGAUUAUAACAUCAUAAAACGGAUGUUUUCUAGAAGAUGUCCCUGCACAAACCCUAGAGUUUUCAAGCCAUCUUCUUCUGGUUUGGGAACUUUCGUUGUGAUAUAGCCUUUCAUUCACUUGUAUCCCAGGUUGAACAGUUUCGAAAGAUGAAUUCAAAACCGUUUCCUCUUGUAACUUUCUCCUCAUGUGUGCGUUUUCGGCUCUCAACAUACUCAAUUCUUCUUCAUUAUUCUUUUUUAACAUCUCGAAUUCUUUUUGUAAUUGGACCAACAUUGCCAUUGGCAUGUUAACAUUGUCUUCCCGAUCUCCACCUUGUUCUCCUCCUUGACUCAUCUUGUCUUUAACCCUUCUCAAUUGACCCUCAGCCCCACGGUGGGCGCCAAAAUGUUCUUACAGAAGGGACCAAGAACACUCAAAAUAGGGUAACAAGACUAAUCCUUCAAUCUUGGGUUGAAUACUAUCUUGGGCUGGAUACUAUCUUGGGCUGGGUACUUGAUUUCUCUCCUUGAUGGGAACUCUUGGCUUCUCCUCUCGACUGGUGCUUUCGGCUUCUCCUCUCGGCUGGUGCUCUCGGCUUCUCCUCUCGGCUGGUGCUCUCGGCUGGUGCUCUCAGCUGGUGCUCUCGGCUUCUCCUCACAACAGGUGGGGGGUACCUGCAAGUCGCUCCGAUGCCAAAGUCAGAAAAGGUUUAAUAUUCAUCAGAUAAAAUCACUCUUACCUUUUUCUUACUAUGGACUUCUAUUUAUAGGGUUUCCUUAAUGGGCUUUUCUCCUUUUCUGUUGGACUUUCUCUUUACACCUUUUUAUUAUUUACACACCCCUCCUGUAGGUUUUAAACUUAAUUGGGUUUCAUUUUUAUAGUAGUACUUAUAUUUUAUUUUAUUCUUUAAUGUAUAUCUUUUUCACUCUCGGUUUUAACCUUAUCCCCUUGUUUACUUAAUGUUGUUCUCGGCC